CGAAUCUGUAUUGAAUUGGAUUUGACCAAACCGUUAAUUGCUAAUGUGCAAGUUGAGGUUAAAAGUCAUGGAAACUUCUCUCUCUGGCUUCCCUCUCUUUAGAAAGAAAACCUUAGUUUUGAAGACUGAGCCGCCAUCCCCUUUGGGGGUGGGUGGCCUCUGCAUUUCCCCUUUCCUCCCUACCCUUUUCCUUCCUAGAUUCUAGUCCGCUCCCCCAUCCCUCAUUUGCUCCCUUUUCCUCUUCCUAUUUCUCUUUCCCCUUUUCUUUGAUUUGGCUGGGCGUUUUGAUGUUGGGUUUUGGUGGCUUAGUUUUGGCCCUUUUUUUUGGUUUUGCUUCUUUUGCAGAUCUGGGAUUUGAAUCCCCUGUUUUGACCCCGUUCCCUCUCCCUCCCAGCCUGUGCUGGGAUCUGGGGUAGGUCUUGAUGGAUUCAGUUUGUCUGCCCAAUCUAUCGGUGGCCCUGUGGUCUUGUGGUGGUGGCUGGUGUUGCGAGCUCUUUUAGUCUCCAGGGAUUGCCCAUCGAUUUUGGUCGUUUUGGGUGGUUUUGUUGGAUCUGUGCUUUUCCUGGAGUGUUCGGGCUUGCUGUGCUCUUUACAGAUGUUUCUUCCGUUGUUUUUCUUCCGUUGCGCUACUCCUACUAGGUGCAGCUUUAGUGGCUUGCUCACCACCAUUUUCUGUUGGUUACUGGUUUCUCUUUGGUGGUUGUUGGCUUGCUUUGGUGGUGCGGCUUGUGGUUGUUGGAUUGUGCGGCACAUACCUGUUAUUGGUGUUAGGGUUUCCUAAUGUUGUGUUGUAUUUUAUGGGCCUUUUGCUAUUAUGUGGGUUCUUUGUCUUUAUGUGGGCUUAAUGCCUUUAUGUGUGCUUUAUACAUUUUGUUAAUUUUAUUUGUAGUGGGCUCUAUGUCUACUUGUAUUGAAUUUUGUGUGAACUCAAUUAUUUGAGUUCAAUUUGAUGUAAUAUGGCUUUGACCUUCUAUUUAAUGAAACUCGAUUCCGACCAAAAAAA
Molecule: long non-coding RNA, 1003 nt
Organism: Prunus persica (peach)
Lineage: Eukaryota; Viridiplantae; Streptophyta; Magnoliopsida; Rosales; Rosaceae
Exons: 2
Source: RefSeq, a predicted model, not a curated record